Long non-coding RNA from Rhipicephalus microplus (southern cattle tick), 357 nucleotides. The record is from RefSeq and is a predicted model, not a curated record. Lineage: Eukaryota; Metazoa; Arthropoda; Arachnida; Ixodida; Ixodidae.
AGGCCACCAAGAUAUUUAACAACAAGACCGUGACAAUUGUUGUGCGGGACUGUGUGCAAGCCAUUUGGGGAGAGGAAGCUCUAGCCUGCAAGACUGUUAGUGGUUGUUCUGUGCCCGUGGAAGAGACGAAGCAGCUUACUCCACAAAAAGUGCACGAUGUGAACGGAGAUGCUGUUAUGUCUGUGAUGCAUAAUAUGGCAGCCCAUUACUAGGAUAACCCUUGCAAGCUGAUUACACAGGCAAGAGGGCUACUACCGGAAGAAAGAGACUGCAAGAAGAUUAAUCUGAGAUAGGCUGCGCAGAUGUUCUUGGUGUUUUUUAACACUUUCGGAUUGAUGUCAUCUGCUCCAGAUGAAG